RNAcentral lists this non-coding RNA (100 nucleotides) under uncultured Ruthenibacterium sp. RNAcentral's name for it is "THF riboswitch". It matches the Rfam family "THF (Tetrahydrofolate) riboswitch aptamer". From Rfam's summary of the family: THF riboswitch presents a pseudoknot that joins P1-P2 and the loop of P3 and two THF binding. Lineage: Bacteria; Bacillati; Bacillota; Clostridia; Eubacteriales; Oscillospiraceae. The record is from RNAcentral.
GCAGAGUAGGACGCCGCGCGUCAAGUGCCGCUGUGACGGGGAGUUGCACAGCGGACGAAAAGCCGGAAAGGCUUGCGGUGCGCCGUCCGCAUCCCGCUGC